RNAcentral lists this ribosomal RNA (468 nucleotides) under uncultured bacterium. RNAcentral's name for it is "partial 16S ribosomal RNA". It matches the Rfam family "Bacterial small subunit ribosomal RNA", at positions 28 to 507 of the family's 1533-position model. The record is from RNAcentral.
GACGAACGCUGGCGGCGUGCUUAACACAUGCAAGUCGAACGGAAAGGCCCUGCUUUUGUGGGGUGCUCGAGUGGCGAACGGGUGAGUAACACGUGAGUAACCUGCCCUUGACUUUGGGAUAACUUCAGGAAACUGGGGCUAAUACCGGAUAGGAGCUCCUGCUGCAUGGUGGGGGUUGGAAAGUUUCGGCGGUUGUGGAUGGACUCGCGGCUUAUCAGCUUGUUGGUGGGGUAGUGGCUUACCAAGGCGUUGACGGGUAGCCGGCCUGAGAGGGUGACCGGCCACAUUGGGCCUGAGAUACGGCCCAGACGCCUACGGGAGGCAGCAGUGGGGAAUAUUGCACAAUGGGCGGAAGCCUGAUGCAGCAACGCCGCGUGCGGGAUGACGGCCUUCGGGUUGUAAACCGCUUUCGCCUGUGACGAAGCGUGAGUGACGGUAAUGGGUAAAGAAGCACCGGCUAACUACGUG